AUACGGAGGGUCCAAGCGUUAUCCGGAAUCAUUGGGUUUAAAGGGUCCGCAGGCGGUCAAUUAAGUCAGAGGUGAAAGCCCAUCGCUCAACGAUGGAACUGCCUUUGAUACUGGUUGACUUGAGUUAUACGGAAGUAGAUAGAAUAAGUAGUGUAGCGGUGAAAUGCAUAGAUAUUACUUAGAAUACCGAUUGCGAAGGCAGUCUACUACGUAUAUACUGACGCUGAGGGACGAAAGCGUGGGUAGCAAACAGGAUUAGAUACCCUAGUAGUCC
This 274-nucleotide ribosomal RNA is filed under the name uncultured bacterium. RNAcentral's name for it is "partial 16S ribosomal RNA". It matches the Rfam family "Bacterial small subunit ribosomal RNA", at positions 523 to 796 of the family's 1533-position model. The record is from RNAcentral.